RNAcentral lists this ribosomal RNA (253 nucleotides) under uncultured bacterium. RNAcentral describes it as "partial 16S ribosomal RNA". It matches the Rfam family "Bacterial small subunit ribosomal RNA", at positions 524 to 776 of the family's 1533-position model. The record is from RNAcentral.
UACGGGGGGGGUAAGCGUUGUUCGGAAUUACUGGGCGUAAAGGGCUCGUGGGCGGCCAACUAAGUCAUACGUGAAAUCCCUCAGCUUAACUGGGGAACUGCGUGUGAUACUGGAUGGCUUGGAUUUGGGAGAGGGAUGCGGAAUUCCAGGUGUAGCGGUGAAAUGCGUAGAUAUCGGGAGGAACACCAGUGGCGAAGGCGGCUUUCUGGCCCAUUCUUGACGCUGAGGCGCGAAAGCUAGGGUAGCAAACGGG